AGGACGAACGCUGGCGGCGUGCUUAACACAUGCAAGUCGAGCGGAAAGGCCCUUCGGGGUACUCGAGCGGCGAACGGGUGAGUAACACGUGAGUAAUCUGCCCUUAGCUCUGGGAUAGCUCCGGGAAACCGGGAUUAAUACCAGAUAUGACCACUUUAGACAUCUUUUGUGGUGGAAAGAAUUUCGGCUGGGGAUGAACUCGCGGCCUAUCAGCUUGUUGGUGAGGUAAUGGCUCACCAAGGCGACGACGGGUAGCCGGCCUGAGAGGGCGACCGGCCACACUGGGACUGAGACACGGCCCAGACUCCUACGGGAGGCAGCAGUGGGGAAUAUUGCGCAAUGGGCGAAAGCCUGACGCAGCGACGCCGCGUGGGGGAUGAAGGCCUUCGGGUUGUAAACCCCGUUUCAGCAGGGACGAAGCGAAAGUGACGGUACCUGCAGAAGAAGCGCCGGCUAACUACGCGCCAGCAGCCGC
Molecule: ribosomal RNA, 475 nt
Filed under: uncultured bacterium
Lineage: Bacteria
Description: SSU rRNA
Rfam family: Bacterial small subunit ribosomal RNA
Source: RNAcentral